This 333-nucleotide unclassified non-coding RNA is filed under the name soil metagenome. RNAcentral describes it as "partial contains 5.8S ribosomal RNA, internal transcribed spacer 2, and large subunit ribosomal RNA". The stretch from base 1 to 119 matches the Rfam family "5.8S ribosomal RNA", at positions 35 to 154 of the family's 154-position model. The record is from RNAcentral.
GAUGAAGAACGUAGCGAAAUGCGAUAAGUAAUGUGAAUUGCAGAAUUCAGUGAAUCAUCGAAUCUUUGAACGCACAUUGCGCCCGCCAGUAUUCUGCGGGCAUGCCUGUUCGAGCGUCAUUUCAACCAUCAAGCCCUGCUUGCGUUGGGGUCCUGCGGCUGCCCGCAGGCCCUGAAAACCAGUGGCGGGCUCGCUAGUCACACCGAGCGCAGUAAUACAUCUCGCUUUGGGCGUGCGGCGGGUUCUUGCCGUUAAACACCCCCUUUUUACCAAGGUUGACCUCGGAUCAGGUAGGAAUACCCGCUGAACUUAAGCAUAUCAAUAAGCGGAGGA